GACGAACGCUGGCGGCGUGCCUAAUACAUGCAAGUCGAGCGAUGAAGAUUGGUGCUUGCACCAAUUUGAAGAGCAGCGAACGGGUGAGUAACGCGUGGGGAAUCUGCCUUUGAGCGGGGGACAACAUUUGGAAACGAAUGCUAAUACCGCAUAACAACUUUAAACAUAAGUUUUAAGUUUGAAAGAUGCAAUUGCAUCACUCAAAGAUGAUCCCGCGUUGUAUUAGCUAGUUGGUGAGGUAAAGGCUCACCAAGGCGAUGAUACAUAGCCGACCUGAGAGGGUGAUCGGCCACAUUGGGACUGAGACACGGCCCAAACUCCUACGGGAGGCAGCAGUAGGGAAUCUUCGGCAAUGGACGAAAGGCUGACCGAGCAACGCCGCGUGAGGGAAGAAGGUUUUCGGAUCGUAAAACUCUGUUGGUAGAGAAGAACGAUGGUGAGAGUGGAAAGCUCAUCAAGUGACGGUAACUACCCAGAAAGGGACGGCUAACUACGUG
RNAcentral lists this ribosomal RNA (497 nucleotides) under uncultured bacterium. RNAcentral's name for it is "partial 16S ribosomal RNA". It matches the Rfam family "Bacterial small subunit ribosomal RNA", at positions 28 to 507 of the family's 1533-position model. The record is from RNAcentral.